RNAcentral lists this ribosomal RNA (243 nucleotides) under uncultured bacterium. RNAcentral describes it as "partial 16S ribosomal RNA". It matches the Rfam family "Bacterial small subunit ribosomal RNA", at positions 90 to 334 of the family's 1533-position model. The record is from RNAcentral.
CCGGACCGGCGCACGGGUGCGUAACGCGUAUGUAACCUACCUAUAACAGGGGCAUAACACUGAGAAAUUGGUACUAAUUCCCCAUAAUAUUCGGAGAGGCAUCUCUCCGGGUUGAAAACUCCGGUGGUUAUAGAUGGACAUGCGUUGUAUUAGCUAGUUGGUGAGGUAACGGCUCACCAAGGCAACGAUACAUAGGGGGACUGAGAGGUUAACCCCCCGCACUGGUACUGAGACACGGACCAG